Molecule: unclassified non-coding RNA, 195 nt
Filed under: plant metagenome
Description: partial contains small subunit ribosomal RNA, internal transcribed spacer 1, and 5.8S ribosomal RNA
Source: RNAcentral
UAUCCGUUGGUGAACCAGCGGAGGGAUCAUUACCGAGUUUACAACUCCCAAACCCCUGCGAACAUACCAUUUGUUGCCUCGGCGGUGCCUGCCUCGGCAGCCCGCCAGAGGACCCAAACCCGUGAUUUUAUACAGUAUCUUCUGAGUAAAUGAUUAAAUAAAUCAAAACUUUCGACAACGGAUCUCUUGGUUCUG